Non-coding RNA from Heterocephalus glaber (naked mole-rat), 77 nucleotides. The record is from Rfam. NCBI's taxonomy places the organism in Eukaryota, Metazoa, Chordata, Mammalia, Rodentia, Bathyergidae.
GGAGAUGUAGCUCAGUGGUAGAGCACCUGCCUAGCAUGCAGGACCCCGAGUUCCAGCUCAUUGAGGUUGUGUUUCCC